CACCGGCGGCUCGAGUGGUGGCCACUUUUAUUGGGUCUAAAGCGUCCGUAGCCGGCUUGGCAAGUCCCCUGGGAAAUCUGGCGGCUUAACCGUCAGGCGUCCAGAGGAUACUGCCAGGCUUGGGACCAGGAGAGGUGAGAGGUACCUCAGGGGUAGGGGUGAAAUCUUGUGAUCCCUGAGGGACCACCAGUGGCGAAGGCGUCUCACUAGAACGGGUCCGACGGUCAGGGACGAAAGCUGGGGGCACGAACCGG
RNAcentral lists this ribosomal RNA (254 nucleotides) under uncultured microorganism. RNAcentral describes it as "partial 16S ribosomal RNA". It matches the Rfam family "Archaeal small subunit ribosomal RNA", at positions 474 to 727 of the family's 1478-position model. The record is from RNAcentral.